CGGAGGAUCCAAGCGUUAUCCGGAAUCAUUGGGUUUAAAGGGUCCGUAGGCGGUUUGGUAAGUCAGUGGUGAAAGCCCUUCGCUCAACGGAGGAACGGCCAUUGAUACUGCCAGACUUGAAUUACUGGGAAGUAACUAGAAUAUGUAGUGUAGCGGUGAAAUGCUUAGAUAUUAUAUGGAAUACCAAUUGCGAAGGCAGGUUACUACCGGUGGAUUGACGCUGAUGGACGAAAGCGUGGGGAGCGAACAGGAUUAGAUACCCUGGUAGUCCACGCCGUAAACGAUGGAUACUAGCUGUUGGGCGCAAGUUCAGUGGCUAAGCGAAAGUGAUAAGUAUCCCACCUGGGGAGUACGUUCGCAAGAAUG
This 366-nucleotide ribosomal RNA is filed under the name uncultured organism. RNAcentral's name for it is "bacterial SSU rRNA". It matches the Rfam family "Bacterial small subunit ribosomal RNA", at positions 526 to 896 of the family's 1533-position model. The record is from RNAcentral.